RNAcentral lists this microRNA precursor (80 nucleotides) under Erinaceus europaeus (western European hedgehog). Its description in RNAcentral is "miRNA (ENSEEUG00000020683.1)". Lineage: Eukaryota; Metazoa; Chordata; Mammalia; Eulipotyphla; Erinaceidae. The record is from RNAcentral.
UGGGCAUCUGUUGAGUACCGCCAUGUCUGUUGGGCAUCCACAAUCUCCCACCAGGCAUUGCGGUCUCUGCUGAUGCUCUG